Molecule: transfer RNA, 73 nt
Filed under: Diaphorina citri (Asian citrus psyllid)
Lineage: Eukaryota; Metazoa; Arthropoda; Insecta; Hemiptera; Psyllidae
Rfam family: tRNA
About the family: Transfer RNA (tRNA) molecules are approximately 80 nucleotides in length.
Source: Rfam by way of RNAcentral
GCCUGGUUAGCUUAGUUGGUAGUGCGUCUGCCUUGUGAGCGCUAGGCCGCGGGUUCGAUUUCCGCCCGGGGCG